UCCUCUGGAAACAAAACAGGGAGCUGUAUAAAAGGCCCACCACCCCAGACCUCGCCAUUCAAUUGCUGGGUUCGUCAACCACACAAGUCUCCAUUCACCACUGAACAAGUCUCCCUUCCACUCACAAAGAUGGGUUGCUGUGGUGGCUAUUCCGACCGUGGACCAAAAGUCAUUUGCAUCCCCUGUGGUGGCGGCGACAAUGGUUGCAACUCAAGCUGUUCACCUUGCUGCUGCUGCGCCCCCUGCUGUGGCUGCGUCCCCUGCUGUGGCUGCGCCCCCUACUGCGGCUGCGCCCCCUGCUGCGGCUGCGCCCCCUGCUGUGGCUGCGCCCCCUGCUGUGGCUGCGCCCCCUGCUGCUGCUGUGCCCCCUGCUGCUGCUGCGCCCCCUGCUGUGGCUGCUCCAAUGGUGGUGGCUCCAGUGGGGGCUGCUCUCUCUACCUAAUCUCUAAUGGAAGAAGGUCCUCCUGCUGUGGCAUGUGAUACUUUGGAGAUUCAACUCAGCCCAUAGCACCAACAGGACCUGUCCAACAUGCCGAAAUAACCUAAACACCAUCAACAUCCCUUUGAAGACCUUUGGCUGACUCCCGUUCUCCUCUUUGCUAACUUAAAAACCUGUUAAGCUUUCCACCUGCCUCUUCUGAUAAUGCUCUCAUUAUCUUCUUCUCUUUGGAGGAGUUUUCUUCCCUGAACAAAUCCUCAUAAGCAAAGGAGGCAUGACUAUUGCGUAGAAUUUGAUGGGUAGGCGUUCCUUUCACCCCGUCUUUCUGGGCUAUGGAAUUGUCUUGUAGUUUGUAGUGUUGCAUGGAUAAUGAUAAUAAAAAUGGAUCUAAUAUAUUUAUUGUCUCUGAAGCUUCUUGAAAAUUGUGCACUGCAUGAAAUGGAGGUUUCUGUUGCACUGUUCCAUCAUGGGUUUGUCUCUUUGUCUCUCCAUGCCAGGUAAGAAGGGACUUCUCUAAUUUCUAAGUUCUAAGUUGAUUAUAGUGUAUAUAUGUGUGUGUGUGUGUGUGAAAUGAUUCCCUUUUGUUUGUCUGGAAUCUGCUUCUCAUCUACUCCAUUGGGCUCCCCUUACAUUCUAGUGGAGAUAGAGAGAGAUCACUUAUACCACACCAAGCAAAGUCCAUCUUGUUAAUCACAGUUGUGUUUCAUUUAUGUGUUCCUUGCCCUGCUUUAACAAGCAAAAACAACCACAACAACUACAAGAAAGCACUUUGAACCUCCAUAGGCAGCAUUCUUGACAGCCCUAGAUUUUAAGGCCUGUAGAAACCCUGUAAGGUCAUUCAGAGGACACAACAUAGCACUGGAAAUACCAGGGUGAACGGCAAAGGUUUAACACACACACAAUCUCUCUCUCUCACACACAUAGAUACACACAUGGAACCUCUUGAUAAAGUUUAGGCAAAAGAAAACUUUUCAGUUCUCUACUUGUCCCAUCAUCUUGAGGUUUGUUUUUUAAGAAAGGCGUCAUGAAAAUUCCUCAGUCUUGUAGUGCAAAUUUCUCCUGCUAUAGUGUAGAUGGGAUGCAGAAAAUAGAUGCAAAAUACCAUACAAUGGAAGUCACGUUAACUAAGCAAGAAAUGAUGAAUCAAAUAAUUUUGGUGUAAGAAGUGUGGCCUUGGGUUCAUGGAUUCUGUUCAGCAGGUCCAUGGGUAGAAACCUCCACCAUAAUCCCAGCAGUGCCCUACAGCCAGAUUGAGAAUCACACUGUUAUUAGGGUUAAUAAUGCUUUUUAAGAGUGGUAAAGACAAAUAUGAGCCAGGUCAAGGCCCGUGUACCUGACGAUGGCGCAUCAUCCAGAUGGGGAUGGUGACUUGAAUGACUAAUGAAGAGUUUACCAUUUUGUGCAAUGAUGUCUGCAUGUGUCUCUGUGUUUGGAUGUGUGAGGGAUGGAAAGAUCUAUCAAUUUUAGUUCUCCCAGUUUUUCAUUUUUCCAAUCUAAAAUUCAGUUCUCCCCAUUUCUGCAACACGUUGCUAAUUUCUCCAGCAUUUUAGUGUGAAUUUAUCCAAAUAAACACAUUUUGGUAGGUAGUUUUAACUAAUGUACACAUUUUUUGGUAGCCAUGUCUUGUCAUCUGAUGCAUUUUUGCAUGUUUUUUUCACUCAUGCAUUCCUUUUUAUGCAUCCAUUCCCUUAGUAUACACAUUUUUGUAAAAAUGUUUUGAUCAGUGAACUGCAUCAAAACAUUUGAAUAAGUGUGAAUUUUGAAGGAUGUCUGUGGGUCUGUUCUCAUAUUAGAUAGAUUUCACUUGGAAAGUGAACUGAAUCAAAAUUCUCACCCAUCUCGUGUGUGCAUGUAUAUAUUUUGUCUCCACAGUUUUCUUCCACUUUGAAAAAGAAAAAAGUUAGAGCCCUUUUAAAUUUCUGAAUAGUGAAAGUGGAGGGGGAAUGACGCAGAUUCUCAGACUCUGAUGUCUGUCUGCAAAGAAGAAAAAUAUCUGACCUUUGGCAGGAUUAAUGCCCUCAGAAGGUGCAACCUGACUCCAGAUUUCUGCCAUAUCCUUGAAAAUCAAAAUAAAUUUGGGAGGCCAUUACAUUUUUGGCAGACUGGAGGGACAAAAGCUCCUGCCCCAUUUGUCUUUUGGCAGACUCUAUGGGGCCAUUAUACUUGCAAACCUCAUCUACCUUUGUCAAACGUGCCGAGUUACAGCCACCUGUGACUUCUUAGUAGUUAAGGGGGGAGAGAGAGAAUUCAUUUCUCUCAUACUCCAAAGCUCAAGAUGAAUCAAGAAACUUCCAAAUCAGGCUGAGCCACGCUGGGCAGUUCCAGAAUGUGCCACAUUGGGGUCCUAACCAAAUUUUGUAAUUGCUGCACACCACAGUAUAUGAAAUAAUGUAACAUAAGCCUUCAUAUAUUAGUAGCACCAUUACCAUCCACUUCUUCUGUUGCCUUUCACCCCCUCCAAUAUUACUUCAAAACAAACCCCCAUCCUCUAGGAAGAACUAUAUGAACUGAAGAUGCAAUAGACAAUAAUCAAGACAAAUAAUUCACUGAACAAAAAAAGAUGGAUUCGAUUUUUUUGGAGAGGGGUAUAAGAAAUGAAACCUUGACUUCAUGGAUUCUGUUAAACAUGUCCAUAGACAGAAACAUCCUUGUCCAUAAUUUUCUCAGUGGCUUCUGGCCAGACUGAGGAUCACACUGUUAUUAGGUUUAAUCAUGCUUUUAAAGACAUAGAGCAGUAAUGACGAGUAUGAGCCAUGUCAAGGACCAUGCAGCUGAAGAUGGUGCAUCGUCCAGAUGGGGAUGGAUGCUUUGAUGGCUAAUGAAGAGUGUACCAUAUUUGCAGCGAUGCCUCAUUUCCUCUGGAAACACAACAGGGAGCUGUAUAAAAGGCCCACCACCCCAGACCUCUCCAUUCAAACACUGGGUUCCUCAACCACACAAGUCUCCAUUCACCAUUGAACAAGCCUUCGUUCCGCUCACAAAGAUGGGUUGCUGUGGUGGCUAUUCAAACCGUGGACCAAAAGUCAUUUGCAUCCCCUGCAAUGGCGGCGACAAUGGUUGCAACUCGUCAUGUCCGCCCUGCUGCUGCUGUGCCCCCUGCUGCGGCUGUGCCCCCUGCUGUGGCUGUGCCCCCUGCUGCGGCUGUGCCCCCUGCUGCGGCUGCGCCCCCUGCUGUGGCUGCGCCCCCUGCUGCGGCUGCGCCCCCUGCUGUUGCUGCUGCCCUUGCUGCUGCUGUGUCCCAUGCUGUGGCUGCUCCAAUGGUGGCAGUUGCAAUGGUGGCGGCUCCAGUGGCGGCUGCUCUAUCUGCAUAAUCUCUAAUGGAAAAAGGUCCUCCUGCUGUGGCAUGUGAUACUUUGGACAUUCAGCUCAGCCCAUAGCAACAACAGGACCUGUCCAACAUGCUGGAAUAACCUCAACACCAUCAAUGUUCCUUUGAAGACCUGUCGGUUGACUUCCUGUUCUCCUCUGUGCUAAUCAAAAGUAGUUAUGGUUUUCACCUGCCUCUAAUUAUUUGAUUAUCUGCUCUGAUUAUCUUUUUCUCUUUGGAAGAGUUUCCCCCCCAACGAUCCCUAAUAAGGAAAGGUGGCAUGACUAUCGUGUAGAAGUAGAUGGGUAGGCUUUCCUCCCCCCCUUCUUUCUGGGCUAUGGCAUUGUCUUGUACUUCAUAUUGUUGCAUGAAUAACAACAAUAAUAAAAAUGAUUAUAAUAUA
Molecule: long non-coding RNA, 4149 nt
Organism: Rhineura floridana
Lineage: Eukaryota; Metazoa; Chordata; Lepidosauria; Squamata; Rhineuridae
Exons: 3
Source: RefSeq, a predicted model, not a curated record